RNAcentral lists this ribosomal RNA (413 nucleotides) under Nectophrynoides cf. tornieri HCL-2014. RNAcentral's name for it is "partial 16S ribosomal RNA". It matches the Rfam family "Bacterial large subunit ribosomal RNA", at positions 1857 to 2484 of the family's 2925-position model. Lineage: Eukaryota; Metazoa; Chordata; Amphibia; Anura; Bufonidae. The record is from RNAcentral.
GCCUGCCCAGUGACCCUGUUUACGGCCGCGGUAUCCUAACCGUGCGAAGGUAGCGUAAUCACUUGUUCUCUAAAUGUGGACUAGUAUGAACGGCAUCACGAGGGUUAUACUGUCUCCUUUUUCUAAUCAGUGAAACUAAUCCCCCCGUGAAGAGGCGGGGAUAGAACUAUAAGACGAGAAGACCCUAUGGAGCUUUAAACAACAUAGCACUUGCCUUAACACGGAAUUUCCGAAUCUUACUCUAAAGCAAUAUUGACUAUAAGUUUUUGGUUGGGGUGACCACGGAGCAAAAUUUAACCUCCAUGUUGAAAGAAUUCAAGCUAAGAAUAACUAUUCUAAGCAUCAACAUAUUGACAUCAAUUGACCCAAUACAUUUGAACAACGAACCAAGUUACCCUAGGGAUAACAGCGCA